UUCGACAGGCUUAACACAUGCAAGUCGAGGGGCAGCACAGGUAGCAAUACCGGGUGGCGACCGGCGCACGGGUGAGUAACGCGUAUGCAACUUGCCUAUCAGAGGGGGAUAACCCGGCGAAAGUCGGACUAAUACCGCAUGAAGCAGGGGCCCCGCAUGGGGAUAUUUGCUAAAGAUUCAUCGCUGAUAGAUAGGCAUGCGUUCCAUUAGGCAGUUGGCGGGGUAACGGCCCACCAAACCGACGAUGGAUAGGGGUUCUGAGAGGAAGGUCCCCCACAUUGGUACUGAGACACGGACCAAACUCCUACGGGAGGCAGCAGUGAGGAAUAUUGGUCAAUGGCCGAGAGGCUGAACCAGCCAAGUCGCGUGAGGGAUGAAGGUUCUAUGGAUCGUAAACCUCUUUUAUAAGGGAAUAAAGUGCGGGACGUGUCCCGUUUUGUAUGUACCUUAUGAAUAAGGAUCGGCUAACUCCGUGCCAGCAGCCGCGGUAAUACGGAGGAUCCGAGCGUCAUCCGGAUUUAUUGGGUUUAAAGGGUGCGUAGGCGGCCUUUUAAGUCAGCGGUGAAAGUCUGUGGCUCAACCAUAGAAUUGCCGUUGAAACUGGGGGGCUUGAGUAUGUUUGAGGCAGGCGGAAUGCGUGGUGUAGCGGUGAAAUGCAUAGAUAUCACGCAGAACCCCGAUUGCGAAGGCAGCCUGCCAAGCCAUUACUGACGCUGAUGCACGAAAGCGUGGGGAUCAAACAGGAUUAGAUACCCUGGUAGUCCACGCAGUAAACGAUGAUCACUAGCUGUUUGCGAUACACUGUAAGCGGCACAGCGAAAGCGUUAAGUGAUCCACCUGGGGAGUACGCCGGCAACGGUGAAACUCAAAGGAAUUGACGGGGGCCCGCACAAGCGGAGGAACAUGUGGUUUAAUUCGAUGAUACGCGAGGAACCUUACCCGGGUUUGAACGCAUUCGGACCGAGGUGGAAACACCUUUUCUAGCAAUAGCCGUUUGCGAGGUGCUGCAUGGUUGUCGUCAGCUCGUGCCGUGAGGUGUCGGCUUAAGUGCCAUAACGAGCGCAACCCUUGCCACUAGUUACUAACAGGUUAGGCUGAGGACUCUGGUGGGACUGCCAGCGUAAGCUGCGAGGAAGGCGGGGAUGACGUCAAAUCAGCACGGCCCUUACAUCCGGGGCGACACACGUGUUACAAUGGCGUGGACAAAGGGAUGCCACCUGGCGACAGGGAGCGAAUCCCCAAACCACGUCUCAGUUCGGAUCGGAGUCUGCAACCCGACUCCGUGAAGCUGGAUUCGCUAGUAAUCGCGCAUCAGCCAUGGCGCGGUGAAUACGUUCCCGGGCCUUGUACACACCGCCCGUCAAGCCAUGGGAGCCGGGGGUACCUGAAGUCCGUAACCGAAAGGAUCGGCCUAGGGUAAAACUGGUGACUGGG
RNAcentral lists this ribosomal RNA (1434 nucleotides) under uncultured organism. Its description in RNAcentral is "SSU rRNA". It matches the Rfam family "Bacterial small subunit ribosomal RNA". The record is from RNAcentral.